Molecule: ribosomal RNA, 253 nt
Filed under: uncultured bacterium
Lineage: Bacteria
Description: partial 16S ribosomal RNA
Rfam family: Bacterial small subunit ribosomal RNA
Source: RNAcentral
GACGUAGGGGGCGAGCGUUGUCCGGAUUCAUUGGGCGUAAAGCGCGCGUAGGCGGCCCGGUAAGUAGGGGGUGAAAUCCUGCGGCUCAACCGCAGGGCUGCCUUCUAAACUGUCGAGCUCGAGCACGGUAGAGGCAGAUGGAAUUCCCGGUGUAGCGGUGGAAUGCGUAGAGAUCGGGAAGAACAUCAGUGGCGAAGGCGGUCUGCUGGGCCGUUGCUGACGCUGAGGCGCGACAGCGUGGGGAGCAAACAGG